Drosophila simulans is the source of this 3878-nucleotide RNA transcript. RefSeq lists it as uncharacterized. The transcript is spliced from 3 exons. The record is from RefSeq and is a predicted model, not a curated record. Lineage: Eukaryota; Metazoa; Arthropoda; Insecta; Diptera; Drosophilidae.
UCCCAGAAAUAUUAUGAUUUCGAAUUUCCACUAGCUGAAUAACGGGUAUCCACGGUCGUGGAAGUUGACUAUUGCUUUCUCUCAAGUUCCUAUCUGUUUACCUUGUUAGCAAUUAUGUCAUUAUCCAAAUGACAUAAUUGAUAAAUAACUGUGUUUCACAACACUAAAUCACCUGUGUUCACCAACUCUUAAGGUAAACAAACGCUUAAAAAAAGACGCAAAGCGGCAUUUUGGUCGUUUUGUGCUACGCUGUUCACUUUUUCUUUUGUUUAUGGAAGGUAUGGGAAUGGGCAGACACCGCGGCGACUGCGUCUUCAAGCUGGGCUUGUAUGACGAAUUACUGGUAACUGGUACUGGUAGUUGUGCCGAAAACAGUUCUAACAGCGGACUAGCGAUGUCAUACCUGCCGCCUGAAAUCGGGGAUUUUAAUUGUGAGCUAAAACUGUGAUAACAUAUACAUAUUGAUACAUAUUGAAUUCCUCAGUGGUGCAGGAUGUCAGCACACGGCCAUUAUUCACUAAAGCGUGCCGAAUAAGUAUGUAGAGACACUACUGUGAAGUAAUCUUCCGUUUUAGUAUUCACAACAAACUAACUCGUUUUCCGUUCCCCUUUGAGGAAUUUAGGGGGUCUUCGAACGGUAUCGGUAUUGUCUCGCAAGACAAAUAACCUAUUACAAUGAUUUCAGGAACCUUAAAAGAAAGCGAAUAAAAUUAAUUGUUUAUAGUCUGGGCGGUUCGGACCACGAGCCUUUGAUGUUUGCAGUGUCCGACCGUAAUCCUAACUCGAAGAUAAAAUGAUUUAAAACGUACAUAUAUAGGCGAUCAAAAGGGAAUGCUCCAAUAUUACCCAGGAAGAGAAAAUAACUUCAUCAGCACAUCUACCACUUCAGAAUAUAAAUGCUCUGUGAAGUGAAGUGGCAUCCGGCGCGGCAUGAAUCCAUAACUAUAGUUAACAUAGACGAUAAAGGCUACGGUUCAACAAAACACAUUAGUAUAUCAAGAUGCGUAACGGCCAUACAUUGGUUUUGCACUAUGCAGUCACUUAUUUGUGACACCCGAAAAAUUGCUGCGUAAAAUGAGAGUGUAUGUGUGCGUAUUUGUGCUUGAUAACGAAACCAAUUUUGAUCUAGGAAUCGAAGUUAUAUUUUAUCACAAUUAUUUUUUUAAAGAAGCGUUUUUAAAUAAGAUUUGUAUUUAUGUUAAAAUUAAUAACAUGUACAAUGACACUGACUACAAACUUCAACAGGAGACUGUGACCAAAUUUCAGAAAAAUCGGAAUUAAAACUGAAUAAGUUGUCCACCCUACUGUCUGGAAAACAGCUUCGAGGUGCAAAACAUUCAGAUAGCAAAAAUUUGGCGAAAACCAGAGCACCUAAAAACGAUAUAGGAAGAUUUCGUACAUAUCGAAAUCGAAAAAAAUUAAAAUUUUUCUUGAGAAAUCGAUACAAAAUUUACAAAAAGUCAAUACCAUUUACAUAGACAAACUGCACAACCACCCAAACACUCUAGCGAUCAAAUUACUGGACAACAAUCGAUGUAUAAGGAGACUUAAAAGAUAUCACCCAUCUUGAAAACUGAAUUUACCACUAUCCUCAUCCCAACCCUUCCCCCAAUACUAUACUAAAGACUCACAUUUGUAAAAAAACUCACCAGCUAAGUUUAUAAGCAAAAAUGUAAUCAUUGCCCAAAAGGGCAGCGUAACGGAUAUAAACUUUAUGGCAGCAGGGUUGAUAAUUUGGAAACAAUUUAGGUAUUCAAAAAAAGCAAUACAAAUAAAGGCUCUGUUUAGCCAAUGAGCUUUUUCAUCAGCUUUUGAAUUAAUAACACUUAUUGUUCUGAUAUUAUUCUUUGUUUAUUGUAGUUUAUUGACAUCGAAAGAGUCAAAUCAGCGCGAAAAUGAGUUUAAAACUGAGAGAGAUCAGUACAAAGUUAAGCUUUAAGAUAAGAACUUUUGCUUAGAUAAAUAAGCGAAUAAAUGAGCAAGAGGAAAACUAUGAUUGAUUUACGCUAAUCUUAACUAUUACAAAUGGACCGACAGGCACCAUAAACUAUAGUAAAAAAAUAUUAGAAUAUCCAAUACAUAAAAUCUAAUCUACUUUGGUCAAGCCUAAUAAGUAUAAGAACUUAACGUAACUUAUUCUCCUGUACUUGGAAUCUAAACGGAAACAUAACUCUUCUUAUUUUUAUGCGUACUUUUAUCUACUUUAAGUUCAACAGGUUAUGGGUUCAUUUACAACCUGUCCGAGAUAAUGCUCAUAUGUAUGUUUAGAGAGCAGAUUAUUACUGUGUGUGUGUUGAUCGUUAAGCUAAAUAAACAUUUUUCUGUACGACAAAUUGGGCGAGUCUAAUUGUGACUCGUGUUGUGUGCAGAUGAAAAGUGUAUUGGUGCAUAAAGAACUGGGAUCAAUUAUUUCACAGGAAUCGCGCUAUCGGUUAAAGGGUAACAAACAUCAAAAAAUCUUAUUCUGCCAAGAAGACUUUUACAAAAUUACAAGAAAUUCAUCACCCAUGGGAAAAGUGUCAUUUCGAAUGUUCUCGAUCAGUUGACUGAGAUGGGCAUAGUUUUGCUGUAGGAACUAUUUGUAAUAAUGCUAUUGGCAAGCUUACCAAAGUCAUUUCAAAAUCUAGUCGUGACAAUAAAAUCUCGUAAUGAAGAAACUGAGCGCCGAAAAUUGUGACUUAAAUAUAUGAAAAAUAAGCGACGCGUUACAGUGCUUCCGUCAGAGGCCAAAUAUAAAAAAAACCGUCUAAAUUGAUUUACUUAUAAUGUUACCAAAUUGUCUCCAAAUAGUCCAAAUAUUUCCAGCCAAAACCAGUUUUUGCUUCAAACCUAACAGUACUUUCUAAACAUAGAAUUAAAGUUAUGCAAACGUGUUCAUUUGUGAAGCGAAAUUGCAUGAAUUGUAAUUUCUGCAUUGCAAAAGCAAACUUCAAAGGCAUCAAACUUUCAGUGAGGAGCUUCGAUUUAAAUAAUUUAAAAUGGAUUUUAAAGUAGAAGGUAUUUACUUCGUAUACAAAAACUAAUAAUUACUAAUCGGUUGGCCUUUUUAUUGUCUUUUUUAUGGGUAUUAUUAUGAUUACUUAAACUUUUAGUUGUGUUCCUCAUAAUCCUCAUAUAUCCUCAUGUGUGUUUCCACACCUAUAUAUUUUAGAUUUAUGGUGCACAAAGAAGGGUACCCACGGAAAGAAAUACAAGAAGUCAUCAGUACAAUGUAAUAUUGAAAACAGCGGCCACAUGCCUAUAGUAACUGAAUGGACUGAAUGUGUUGAAAAAAUUUGUCAAGUAUAUUUGAGCUUCAAGCCGAGGUAGUCGAUUGUGUGAUGAUUGCGUUUUACAAAUAUUUUUACUAAUUGGAAAGUGGAGAUUUAAUGGAAGUACCGGUCAUAGCGAAUAUAAUCAAAAGUUUUCCAAUAAUGAUUUACAGGAUACAAUUUUAUUUGUUACAUCCUACGUACCUCUCCAACUAAUUUCAAAAGAUAACCAACAAAUAAUUUGGAAAAACUACAGACCAUCGUUACAGCAGGCCAGUACGAUAUCAACUUAAAAAAGAGACAACCAAACUUUCAAUCGAAGACCUUCUGAAUCCAACUGAAGUAUUUAAAAAUGAUAAAAAGAUAAAUGUUAAACAUAGCUAAUACCUAACCAUGGUGGAUGGGAAAAUAUGCAAGGCCUUAAGUGAAUCUUCGUCUAUGAAAUAUUACUUAUGUGGAGCAAGUCCCACAGAAAUGAAUCACUUGGCAAAAUGUAUGAGUAAAGACGUAAAAACUCAAUUUUUUGAAUUUGGUUUAUCUAAACUUCAUUAUUAAUUAAUUGUUAUCAUACUGUUUAUUAUCAUUACCUUAAAUUAAUAAUAAAUGCAACAAUUUAAUGUUUCCUCA